UGGGGUAUGGCCAAGCGGUUAAGGCACAGGGUUUUGAUCCCUGCAUCCCAGGUUCGAACCCUGGUACCCCAGCCA
Molecule: transfer RNA, 75 nt
Filed under: Chromatiales bacterium
Lineage: Bacteria; Pseudomonadati; Pseudomonadota; Gammaproteobacteria; Chromatiales
Also listed under: 1 other name
Description: tRNA-Gln
Rfam family: tRNA
About the family: Transfer RNA (tRNA) molecules are approximately 80 nucleotides in length.
Source: RNAcentral